GAUGAACGCUGGCGGCGUGCCUAAUACAUGCAAGUCGAGCGAACAGACGAGGAGCUUGCUCCUCUGACGUUAGCGGCGGACGGGUGAGUAACACGUGGCUAACCUACCUAUAAGACUGGGAUAACUUCGGGAAACCGGAGCUAAUACCGGAUAAUAUAUUGAACCGCAUGGUUCAAUAGUGAACGACGGUUUUGCUGUCACUUAUAGAUGGAUCCGCGCCGCAUUAGCUAGUUGGUAAGGUAACGGCUUACCAAGGCGACGAUGCGUAGCCGACCUGAGAGGGUGAUCGGCCACACUGGAACUGAGACACGGUCCAGACUCCUACGGGAGGCAGCAGUAGGGAAUCUUCCGCAAUGGGCGAAAGCCUGACGGAGCAACGCCGCGUGAGUGAUGAAGGUCUUCGGAUCGUAAAACUCUGUUAGUAGGGAAGAACAAAUGUGUAAGUAACUAUGCACGUCUUGACGGUACCUAAUCAGAAAGCCACGGCUAACUACGUG
This 497-nucleotide ribosomal RNA is filed under the name uncultured bacterium. RNAcentral's name for it is "partial 16S ribosomal RNA". It matches the Rfam family "Bacterial small subunit ribosomal RNA", at positions 28 to 507 of the family's 1533-position model. The record is from RNAcentral.